CAGCUGAAAGCCAGGAUUAUUUAAGGAAUGGAGAACAAUAGGAAAGCAUGACAAGGAAAGAUCAGCCAUUUGACAAUGAAGCAACAUCCUGAGCCUGAAGCACAAUACUAUUGAGACACCUGACUUGACUGCAGUGACUGCGAUGACAAUUUCACCUGCCAGUCCCCUCCUUACAAAGUUGCACCUUGAGCGGUUCCUAAGCAGCCAUAAGGAGGAAAUGCCCCUGCUUCCCCUGGUGAGAAGGCUCAGACCUGGGCAAGAUACUUCAUGAGGAAUUUUGGCCCUUUCCUACCGGGAUCUGAAACGCCAUGAAAGUAAGAAAACACAGUUGUGACGGAUUUCCUAAAAUAAA
Molecule: long non-coding RNA, 352 nt
Organism: Prinia subflava (tawny-flanked prinia)
Lineage: Eukaryota; Metazoa; Chordata; Aves; Passeriformes; Cisticolidae
Exons: 3
Source: RefSeq, a predicted model, not a curated record